UCGACUAUGUCAUUUACAACUCUUUAUAACUUCCAUGUUUUUUCUGUAGCCUUUCUCUUGAUCCCAGUUUUCUACAUUACUGUUGAUGAAUUCUUUUUCUAGAUCAAGUGUUCUGAAGAAGUUCAUUGUGUUAUUUGAAACAAAAUUAUUUAGACUUCUCAAAGGAACAACUUCUAAAUCAACAAUUGCUUUCAGUAGUUGAUGAUCCGAACCACAAUUUUGUAGAGCUGUCAUCAUUUUCCUGUUUGUCAUUAGUAACCCGUUUAUCAAAAAAAGAUGGAGCCACAAGAUUUUCAGAGAGGUACCAGAGAUGUUUUUUUAUUUUAUUAAAAGCCUUCUAGGCUAAAGUUUCAUUUAUAGCUUUGAAAUCUAUCAAGUCUUUUAAAAAUUGCAGGUCAUUCCGAGGAACAUACACAGUUGAAGCAGCUUGGAGCCAGUUCUUGAUUGCUGCCUUUCCCCUUCGUUAGCUAAAACUGAAUAUGGAAAAGAUAAAUUUUUAAUGAAUAUGUAGGCUUUAGUCAUCCACCUUGCUCUAUGAACACCGGCAGGUUCUUUGAAUGACAGUUGUUUUUCUAGUUCUCCUCCAAGAAGAAUGAUGUUCGACUCUAGAAAUUCUUUAUUAUCAUCUCUAGGUUGGAAUUUCUGUAACUAAUCUUUGGAAAAUGCAAUUAUUUUUUGGGUAAAAUCUGUAACAGUAUCACUAGCUAGAGAGUCAGUAGUAGCAAGUUCAAAAUCAUGUUAAUUUAUCUGUGGCUAGAAUUUCGUGAACAACUUAAACAAUGAUAUGUCUGGCCCUGUUAAUGAUCCAAGUUCUUGAACAAUUACUGCUUCUAACAUACUUACUAAUAUGUGGUGGCGGCAUGGAAACCACAACAUUCGUUUUUAUAUUUUUUGUUAUAAUAAAGUACAUGCUCUACUACAAAAACCUGUAUUAACAGCAGUUGUGUCAAAACACAUACAUUCAACGUUGUCUGAGAUUCCCCAUAAGGAAAUUUCUUCAUAAACAGUAGUCGCUAUCAGUUCUCUUGAGUCUGACUCAAGAUUUGGAACCUUAAGAGUUGAUUAUUAUUUUGACCAGAUACACGGAUUGGAAGGAGAUCCACAAUUUCGUGUCCACUUACAUCUUUUUUCCCUUCCCAAUGCACAGUCAGAAGAACAUCAGGAGAGAAAUCUGGUUUUAAAUUUUUUUGCUAUGACAUCUCGCUUCUUAAUCCUCUCUCGACGUAUUCCAAACAUCAAAUCAUUUUAAAACCAUGAACAAUGUAAUUUUUAGUCAAUCACUUCAAAGUGAUUGAUCAUUUGCAUUCAGAUAUAUUUCAUAAAAUCAAUUUUUCAAAAUCUGUAUAAUUUCAAAUGUAUGUAUUUGAAACACAACAUUAAAUUGUACAGGCAUAAACUUGUUUGUUUAUGUUCAGGUAUAUUUUGUUCAAGAAUCAUGUAACGGGAAUACGGUCUAUCAAUAUUUUUAUUCUAUUCCAUGUCAGGAGAGAUAAGCUAACACAACAAAAAGUAACUUCUUUCUUUGACUUCCUCGUAUAUUUAUUAUAUGUCUAAUUAUUGAAUAUUAUAUUUAAUUGAAUAAUAGAUAAAUUCUCGAGAGGUGUCAAAAGUUACGUAGUGAUUAGUAUUGAAAAUGGUUGGCAAUCACCCUAAACGCAAUUAGUUAGUAAUGAAUUAACUAUUUUGCUUUGAAAUUAGCAAUUUCGUCGAAUGUUAAUGACGAAUUUGCAUAGGAGCGGGUACCUUUAUUUGAAUAUAUCGCGAUAGCUGGCGGGUUUAAUGAAACGUGAAACGAAAUACGAUUAUAUUGAAUUCUGUUUUAAUUGAAAUAUGAAUUCAAAUCGUUUUUAAUAAGAAUUUGGAAUAUUGGAAUAUUUCUUGAACUCAGACAAAUGAAUAUGACAAUUAAAAAAAAUAUGAAUUGGGUUUUAGAUACACAAUACGCAAAAUAUUUGAUAUUAUCAAAGACAAAACUAUAAAUAGAAUCAAGCCAACGAUUUAAAAAUUUCACAUGAAUAUUCUAGUAUGGUAGACCACCGUCCUUAUUUGAAUCUGUUUUCAACUGAAGGAAGAGAUAAUUUUCUAGCAUAUCGAGAUACAAUAUUCCCGUAACAGUACUUCUAGUAAAUCUUAUACUUUGGGCUGUAAUAGAAUCAACACUAUAUGUGAUACGAAAUUCACGUUGCACGGAAAUGACAGACUCGCAUCUAGCAAAAACACUGCUAUCUAGCGGUAACUACGUAAAACACCACAGCCUCCUCUCUCAGGUAUAUUUCGGUUACAUCGGGUCACGGUCUUACAUACAGCUCUUGAAAUGGAGACCUAUCUCUACAGAGCGAAGUGGUUCUCUUUAACUGUUUGAAAUAGCCAUGUCGCGGCGGUGAUAUCUAGGGAUGGACGUCGGUAGAGGAAAGGAUGGAAAUGUGAAGUUGAAUAUUUAAUAUUUCUAAGCCUCGAUCACAACCUCAGUCUGGCGGCAACAGAGUGAGAUAACUAAGAGCCAGUAAAAUGAACCACCCCCUCUACUUUCGUUUUAAUAGCUGUAUGUGAGACCUUGCAUAUCGGAUUCAUAGAUGAAUAGCUAAGAUUAAAUAUUAUAAAUAUUAUAACUUUAGAAAAACCUCGUAUGUACAGUGUGAGUAUUAAAAAAUAUGUGAAUAGUAUUAUGGAGUAACUCUGAACAUUUCUUUGUAAAAACUUAUGCCGGCUAUGUUACAUCUUUUCUGUGGACGACAAUAAACAAAAUAAUUGUGCCAAUUCUCAGUUCAUAAGUAAACAAUCAAUUUAAUUGUGAUUAACCAUUGCAAUUGUCAAAUUCAUUCUCAUUUCAAGGAUGUAUUUAUAAUCCAGCUGCGGUCUAUGAAUUCUUACAUAAAAACGUUUCUUAGUUAGUGAUUUCCAGCAGGUAUAAUUUUGUAUAACUAUUUAAUCAUAGAAACUGGUUGAUUUUUGUUAGGUUAGAUGAGUUAGCUACGACUAGGAAAUAGUGAACCUACUUUGAUCUAUUGAUCUACUAUCUACUCUGGAUUGGUUCAUCAGUCAGGGAGCAACGACUUUGUUACCUCUCUGGGGGCUAUGCGGAUAACCUCUUCUGUUCCUUAGAGAAGCGACGACAAGAGAUGUCGGGAAUUUCUCCAAUAUUCUUCAGAUGUUACUUCACCGGAUAGUGUUCAGAAAGCAUACCAGUAACUCUUCUCAUCUCAUCUUUAUUCAUUGAAAGGGCCUUUUCAGACCAAUUAGAGAAAUAAGAAAAAGAUCUUUUCAAUUGUUUUAGAGCUAAUUUCUUCUCAUUUUCCCACUUUUUCAUGAAAUUAUGAGUUUUAAGUACAACUAUAAAAAUUAUAGGUGUAGCUUUAACGAAUGGAAGAAAAAUUUGAGGUUAUGAAUAAAAAUAACUUUGAUAUACACGAAUAUCUGAUUUUUAUUACUUUUUUGUGUGUUAAUUCUUCCAGGAUAUUCAUUUAGUUUUAUAUUAGAUCUUAGAUGUUGAUUAAUUGUUAUUAUCAACGAAUUAAGCCCUUACAAGGAUUUUGCACUUAAGUUCAAUGCUGAUAAGCUUUUUUAUGCUAAAAUGCCGACAAUUAUAAAACCACAAAUUUCAGUAACCUAUCAAUGACGCUGCUCUUGAGAAUUAAUAGUAGACAGCUAUUUAAGGCGAAUAAAUAAUUUUAAGUUUAAAAAACUAUUGACAAGUGAAACAAACCGUCAGCUGAACACAUUUUCCCACCGGUCUAACAGGCUAUAAUCAGAUCAGUUUCCGAACAACAAUGUACGUGAUCCGGGUUAGUUUCCGAACAUUCAGAUCAUAUACGGUUGAACCCGAUCAUAGUAUCUGAGAAUUCCUAAUACAACGCUUUCUUGAAAUUAAAGGGGCAUUAGUGAGAAUUUCUAAAAUAAAAAGGCUGUAUUCUAGAACAAUUGAGAAGAAAGCUGAUACAACUCAAAAUAACAAUUAUAAUCGCGUUAACUGUAAAGUAUGGAGCUAGCUCAAAAAUUAUUUUUCCCGGAAUUUGGGAAAAAUAUUUUUUUAAUGUUCUAUUAUGGAACAAUAUAGAGCAAACCUAAAACAACAUAGAACAAUUCUUAGUGCUAUGCCGUUUUAGAAAAAAACUAUAGCAACCUUCAUAAUUUUUGUGACUCCAAAAUGCGGUGCGAACUUCUUUGGGGUGUAAUUGUAUGUUAAAGAAUAACUGGUAGAUCAAAGCUACUUGGUCUUGGGUUUUUUCUUAUUAUUCUUAUUACUUCUUUCGAAGUUUUCGGAUAUUUUUAUAAACGAAUAUAGAAUAUUCAUAUAAUAAGACAUUACAACAAAUUUUUUCCCUUAUACAUACAGAGUUUAACAAGUUUUUUCUAAUACAUUAACGUAAUAAUCCUUCUGCAAAAAUGUAACAAUAUUUAACAUACACAUAUGUUGAAUAAGUUGAAGAAGUGGUAUUAAAGCAUAAACUUUUAUAGUUUUUCGUAUCGUCCACAAAAGGAAAUUCCCAAGACGACCAGUUUGGAGUUUAAUGGUUACCAUAAACGUAUCAGUGAAGUUUAUGAUCAAUCUUCGGUAAUAAUUUUGUCAGGAAAAUAUAUAGAAAUAAAUUAAUACUAAGAAUUGCGUAAAAAUAAUCCUCAAAUAACCUAAGUAUGUGAUAUAAAUAAAAAUAGAAAUUUUUUUAGAAUUAUUUGUAUUGCGUAAAAUAUACGAGAAUGCAGAUCUAUGCAAACACAUUGCGUACUUACACUUUAAAUGAAAUGAUUUUUUUAUUUUUAAUAAUUAAGUGCUUAAGAAAUAUUAACAAUCGUAGCUCGUUUUUUUCGAUACCUCGAAAAUUUUUUCUGAUGUUCUUAUUUUUCUGAAUCUAUAUUAUCCAUUAUUCGAAGUAAAGAUAGCAGUUUGCCAUAAAUAUUAAAUUGGAAAUCAACGAACCGCCAGUAGUAAUGGUAUCAAGGCACAGUGUAUUCUGAAACAUCGACCUAAAAAAGCUUUUGCUGGUCCUAACCUUCAUUAUCCAGUUUUGGUCAACGAAACGUUUACCUUCGGUCUCUGAAGACCAUCUCUUGGUUAUCAAAACAUGUGUCAGACAGCGUAACUGUGAGUGUUAGUUCAGUAGUAUGUUCAAAACAAAACGUUAUUGAAGAAAAAAUAUGUGAAAAAACACGUUUGCAUAAUGAAUAAUUGAAUGAAAAUGUAACCUAUUACAUUUUUGUCCUACAAUAUGACAUCCAUGUAAAUCGGUCUAGGAAGUAAAACAAGAAACUUGAUAACUAUUUGUAAGGAUUGUUAACACAUAGAAGAAAUAUUUAUAUACUGUACUGGUAAUAAGCGACACGUUAUUUGAAAUUUCUCAAGCAUUACAUCUUUAUAGGCAUAACUAGAAUUUCUAAUAACGAAAAUAAUACAAUUGUUACUAAUCUAUGACUGUUUUAUCAAGUUUCAUUUUGUUGAUCUUUACGUUCAAUCCAGUUAAUAAAGGAUCCAAUCUUGUAAAAAAUCCUUAAAUUGAUCAUUCAAGUUUCAAACGGUAGAUUCUGACUAGUACUUUGAAAUUCGAAAAUAUACCUACCAGAUAGAGAGCCUUGAAAAAUCGCCCAAAAGUUCUGUCUAUUAGUUUUCCUCCAAUAUCUCAAAACAUGACAUUUCGAGAAUUUUUAUUUAGGAAAAAAAUGAUGCUCAGUUCAAUAUCUACGAGAGUUGCUACUUGUUUCGAGAUAUGGCACUGUCAGAUUUGACUUAUUCAGUUUAACAUUUUUAAUGGUAAACAUGUUACCAUAGGAGUGCUAUUUGAGUUGUUCAGAGAUAUUUGAGGCAUUGGUCAAAAAAUGGAAUUAAAUCACGUACAUUUUCGUACGAUGAUUUUCUAUGGCUCUCGACGUGGAUUAAACCAACAGUAAGAGUAGUAUGCCGAUCAACUUGCUCCGACUUUUGGAGAUGCAUCCUCUCAAGCCACCAUGUUUUGCUAGUUUUCCGAAUUCAAUCGUGGUAGCAUUUCGCUUGAGGAUGAAUUUCGUAAAAGUUCAAAAUCGGUUGUCAUGCCAAAAAACAUUGAUGCUUGCACAGGUAUUCUUGCUUCUCGGCUUUUUGUAAUUCAAAUGAGAAACCUUUGUUAUUUCUUAGCACCUACCAAAAAAAGGUAUCGCCUAAUUUGUAUGAAAAAACUUUUGUCAGAUAAAUCGAAAAGCAAGGUUCUCAGUUCUUACCUUCAAAGGAUUAUCUCCGUUAUUAAUCAGUUUUAGAAACUGUGCAUAAAUAAGUACAUUUAUUGGGUACCAAAUACUUAUCAGUUCUAGAAAUUAAUGCACUUAAUUCUUGACCACAUGUUACCAAUUCAGAGCUGAACAAUGAAAACAGAUCUAAUUGGAAAUAAUCAUUUCAUUUUCUCAAUUAAAAUGUUUUCUUUUUUAUAAAUUGUAAGAGACACAAUAUAAAAGUGGCAGGCAUGUGUUCGUUUAUAGAAGUUUACGAUCUCCAUUCAACAUCAAAAGGCACUUUAAUAAACUCUAUACGUGUGCAGGUUAUACCGAAAAAGAAACGUUAAACUGAAGGUAUUGUGAUGUGUUUUGAGACUGACAACGCAAUAUUUAUUCAACACUGAAUAUUUGACUCCUCUUUCAGUUUUAUAUUGUAAACUUUGUUUAUCUUUCUAAACCAGUAGCAUGAAUAUAUAGUAUUUUGAUUAGUUGGAGUCAAUUGCCUAGAAAAUGAUAUAAAAGAGAGUCUUCUCAUAGAAAGAGUUGUAUUAUUAGAAUUUUUGAAGAGUCAUUUCUUUUCUGGUAAUGUGACAUUCGAUACUUAUCAAUGAAAGGGUUUAAUUGUGUAUGAGAUACAUAAAAAUUUUUUUAAUAGGUGAAGUAAAAUUACAUUUUCUGAGAAAUACUCACCCGCUUUUAGUGAUUAUUAUUAGAUUCAGUCAAUUUAUUACCUUCUAUACGAGUUUUGGUGUUAGUUUUUAUCAUCCGGUAAAUAUAGCACGUUCCGAUUAAUAUUUCCACUUCUUGAAGUAGCCCUAGUCAGUUUUCACAACUUCCUUCAGUGCAUUCUUCGUAAAGAGCCAAAAGGCGGAGGGAAUUAUAUCAAGGCUGAUACAACUGUACUUUUACUGCUGUACAAAUUUCGAUGAAUGGAGUGAUGCAGCCAAUGACCGUUUGUUCAAAGCUAUGGCCGUUUUCUUCUAAAUACGCAAUGCAAUCUUUUCAAUUUUUCAAUGUAAUAUUGUUUAAUGCUCUUAUUACUUCUAAAAGUAUAGUUUUAAAAUCAAAGAAAACAGUUGAAGAUAUCUUCAGUUUGCUUUGAUUUGUUUUUUUUUAUCUCGACGAUUCAUAAUAUGAUUAUCGUAUAUACUCUAAUGUAAAAUUCUAGUUAGUUUUUCAUGGUUGAAGUAAAAUUUUGAUAUCGAUGUACCGCUCAAUAUUCUCUUCGAUUACCACGCUGUGUUUCAGCAUAAAUUGAUUCCAAAGGGUACAACGUUCAAUAAGGCCGUUUUGAGGCGUCUACGUGAAGCAUUAAAUCGUAAACAACCGGAUUUGUGGUUAGAUAAUUCAUGGAAUUCUCAACACGAUUAUGAGCCAUCACAUUCCAGCAUAAUUGUCAUGAUUUUGGCUAAACACGAAGAGAGUCAUCGAUCAGCAAACGUAUUCGCCGAAUUUAGCUUUCUGUCACUAUUUAUAACCAAUGGACUCUGUACUAGCCGAGACUUGCAAGUAUAUGGAAAACUGGAUUAACCGUUGUCAUGCUUGUAUUCGUUGGGAUGAAUACUAUUUUAAAGGAGAGACUUCAGAAAUUUCAACAUGAUUAGAGACAAAGAAAGCUGGAAUGGCAAACUAAAUAAGACCCACAAAAGAAAACGACGAAAGGACGAGAUAAGCAAUCUAACAGUGAACCGUAUAGACACAAGUUACGAGAUCGUCAGCUACUGAAGAAGAAGUACCCGAUGAUGGUUUCCGCUAUUGCUGCGAAGAUGAUGGAGUAAUAGAAUGAAAAGAAUCCCAUGCGUCUAUGAAGAUAGUGGAACUAUGCUAAGCGUAUUUUCGCAGCCACAGCCACGGUUUGAACAGAAUGGAGCCACUGCCCAUACGUGUAAUGCUUUAUGGACGUUUCAAUGAUAUCUAUUGACCUGCAUGCACGUCAGAUCUUUUCAUGGAAACUUAAAAAUCUUCAAAACUCACAGUAACUAAUCACUUUCAAUCAUUAGAUAGUAUGGAAUUUGGCAAAAAGCGAAUUUUUGAAAUUUUAUAAUUUUGUUUCAAUGAAUUUAGACAACUUUUUCAAAUUUGUCUUUUUUCAAAUAUCUUCAGAUUUCAAUAGUGCGUUCCGUACGUAAAGAGUACGGUCGGUUACUUUAAAAUAACAAUACGUAUUCAGCAGUAGUAUCUUUAUAACAGAUCUUGAAAUGUAUAUUACACUUUCUUGUACAUGUAAGGAGACAUUGUUUUAUAUCGUCGAAUACCAACCAGCGUUUUCUUUAGUUAAUCGGAAACCAAAUUAUAUGUUUGUUAAAUAUGCGAUUUGGUGUUAUUGAAUUUACGUUUGAUAGCUCCUGUGAGUAGAAUUAAGCUUUCAUACUGUACCAUUUGCCCCAAAUAAAUGCUUGAAAUUUGAUUUUAAUUAAUAAGAUGACAAAUAAGUGAGAAUAUAAAAUUAUCGGUAAGUAAUAGAGAUUUACUGACCUCAGAUUUUAUCCAGUUAAUUAAAACGCUUUCAAAGCACUCGCUCCACAACAGCAACGUUUACCAUGAUUAUUAGUCUUUUUUUUAUAACUAAAAAAAUAUAGCUAAAGGAAAUGAGUACCCAGACAUGUCAGUAUUUUUUAAUUUGAGUUCUCUAGAAGUCGGACUUGUACGGAUCUACACGGUUAUUAUUCUCAAUGGAGAGAUUUUCUCAUAAACAGUUUACAGCCAUCAGUUUUAGUUUUAGUUGACUUUCGAUGCGUCUUGAGUGUGUAUAUUAUUUAGUGGGAAAGUUAUUUCAUUGCUAUUUUAAAAAAAUUGUACUAAAACAAAACUAUGUCAUCUUUCGGUAGAAUCUGAAAAUGAGACAGCCCCUGGUAAAAAUCCAGAAAAA
Diorhabda carinulata is the source of this 9046-nucleotide long non-coding RNA. RefSeq lists it as uncharacterized. The transcript has 3 exons. Lineage: Eukaryota; Metazoa; Arthropoda; Insecta; Coleoptera; Chrysomelidae. The record is from RefSeq and is a predicted model, not a curated record.